GGAAUCUUCCGCAAUGGACGAAAGUCUGACGGAGCAACGCCGCGUGAGUGAGGAAGGCCUUCGGGUCGUAAAGCUCUGUUGUGAGGGAAGAAGCGGUACCGUUCGAAUAGGGCGGUACCUUGACGGUACCUCACCAGAAAGCCACGGCUAACUACGUGCCAGCAGCCGCGGUAAUACGUAGGUGGCAAGCGUUGUCCGGAAUUAUUGGGCGUAAAGCGCGCGCAGGCGGCUUCUUAAGUCUGAUGUGAAAUCUCGGGGCUCAACCCCGAGCGGCCAUUGGAAACUGGGGAGCUUGAGUGCAGAAGAGGAGAGUGGAAUUCCACGUGUAGCGGUGAAAUGCGUAGAGAUGUGGAGGAACACCAGUGGCGAAGGCGACUCUCUGGUCUGUAACUGACGCUGAGGCGCGAAAGCGUGGGGAGCAAACAGGAUUAGAUACCCUGGUAGUCCACGCCGUAAACGAUGAGUGCUAGGUGUUAGGGGUUUCGAUGCCCGUAGUGCCGAAGUUAACACAUUAAGCACUCCGCCUGGGGAGUACGGCCGCAAGGCUGAAACUCAAAGGAAUUGACGGGGACCCGCACAAGCAGUGGAGCAUGUGGUUUAAUUCGAAGCAACGCGAAGAACCUUACCAGGUCUUGACAUCCUUUGACCACCCAAGAGAUUGGGCUUCCCCUUCGGGGGCAAAGUGACAGGUGGUGCAUGGUUGUCGUCAGCUCGUGUCGUGAGAUGUUGGGUUAAGUCCCGCAACGAGCGCAACCCUUGAUCUUAGUUGCCAGCAUUGAGUUGGGCACUCUAAGGUGACUGCCGGUGACAAACCGGAGGAAGGUGGGGAUGACGUCAAAUCAUCAUGCCCCUUAUGACCUGGGCUACACACGUGCUACAAUUGAUGG
Molecule: ribosomal RNA, 887 nt
Filed under: Shouchella clausii
Lineage: Bacteria; Bacillati; Bacillota; Bacilli; Caryophanales; Bacillaceae
Description: bacterial SSU rRNA
Rfam family: Bacterial small subunit ribosomal RNA
Source: RNAcentral